RNAcentral lists this ribosomal RNA (756 nucleotides) under Triticum aestivum (bread wheat). RNAcentral describes it as "partial small subunit ribosomal RNA". The record is from RNAcentral. Lineage: Eukaryota; Viridiplantae; Streptophyta; Magnoliopsida; Poales; Poaceae.
AUGCUUUUCUGCCACGCCACUCCUGAGGAGAUAUCCGCUGUCAACGACAUCCUGGACGUGUUCGGCAUGGCAUCGGGGCUACGGGUGAAUUACUCCAAGAGCUCGGUCACGGUUAUACAUGGCGAUGAUUCUGUUGCGGGGCUGGUUGAACUGCUUGGGUGCCCCGUCGUGACCCUGUCGGUCACCUACCUGGGCAUCCCGCUCACCACCCGCCACCCCUCUGCGGCUCAGCUGCAACCCCUCGUCGACGCGGUGGCGGGCCGGCUACCCUCCUGGAAGGCUUGGCUGAUGAACAAGGCUGGACGGCUUGCGCUAGUCAAGUCGGUGCUCACCGCGAUACCGAUCCAUCAACUGCUCGCGCUCGCGCCCCCAAAGAAAACCUUGAAGCAACUUGAGAAGAUCCAGCGUGGGUUUCUUUGGGCCGGCCGCGUGGAUGCCCAUGGUGGUCAUUGCCACGUGAACUGGUGCCGGGUCUGCCGACCGCUUGAAUAUGGCGGUCUGGGCGUCCGGGACCUGGAGCGCAAAGGGCUCUUGCUUCGGUUGCGUUGGCUAUGGCUUGCGCGCACAGACACGGACAGAGCACGGCAGGGGCUGGACCUGCAAUUCACUUCGGAGGAGCGCGCGCUUUUUUACGCCUCCACUACCAUGGCCCUCGGGGAUGGCAGGACCGCACUUUUUUGGGAGGAUCGCUGGCUUGGCAGCCAAUCUGUCCGCGAGCUCGCGCUCAUGCUCUUUCUGUUAGACCUUUCAACCUGA